GACGAACGCUGGCGGCGUGCUUAACACAUGCAAGUCGAACGGAAAGGCCCUGCUUGCAGGGUGCUCGAGUGGCGAACGGGUGAGUAACACGUGGGUGAUCUGCCCCUUACUUUGGGAUAAGCCUGGGAAACUGGGUCUAAUACUGGAUAGGACCAUGCUGUAGGUGGUGUGGUGGAAAGAUUAGUUUCGGUAAGGGAUGAGCUCGCGGCCUAUCAGCUUGUUGGUGGGGUAAUGGCCUACCAAGGCGUCGACGGGUAGCCGGCCUGAGAGGGUGGACGGCCACAUUGGGACUGAGAUACGGCGCAGACUCCUGCGGGAGGCAGCAGUGGGGAAUAUUGCACAAUGGGCGCAAGCCUGAUGCAGCGACGCCGCGUGGGGGAUGACGGCCUUCGGGUUGUAAACUCCUUUCAGCCAUGACGAAGCCCUUGUGGUGACGGUAGUGGUAGAAGAAGCACCGGCUAACUACGUG
RNAcentral lists this ribosomal RNA (469 nucleotides) under uncultured bacterium. RNAcentral's name for it is "partial 16S ribosomal RNA". It matches the Rfam family "Bacterial small subunit ribosomal RNA", at positions 28 to 507 of the family's 1533-position model. The record is from RNAcentral.